RNAcentral lists this ribosomal RNA (468 nucleotides) under uncultured bacterium. Its description in RNAcentral is "partial 16S ribosomal RNA". It matches the Rfam family "Bacterial small subunit ribosomal RNA", at positions 28 to 507 of the family's 1533-position model. The record is from RNAcentral.
GACGAACGCUGGCGGCGUGCUUAACACAUGCAAGUCGAACGGAAAGGCCCUGCUUUUGUGGGGUGCUCGAGUGGCGAACGGGUGAGUAACACGUGAGUAACCUGCCCUUGACUUUGGGAUAUCUUCAGGAAACUGGGGCUAAUACCGGAUAGGAGCUCCUGCUGCAUGGUGGGGGUUGGACAGUUUCGGCGGUUGGGGAUGGACUCGCGGCUUAUCAGCUUGUUGGUGGGGUAGUGGCUUACCCAGGCUUUGACGGGUAGCCGGCCUGAGAAGUCGACCGGCCACAUUGGGACUGAGAUACGGCCCAGACUCCUACGGGAGGCAGCAGGGGGGAAUAUUGCACAAUGGGCGGAAGCCUGAUGCAGCAACGCCGCGUGCGGGAUGACGGCCUUCGGGUUGUAAACCGCUUUCGCCUGUGACGAAGCGUGAGUGACGGUAAUGGGUAAAGAAGCACCGGCUAACUACAUG